CUUGAGAGAGAUACUUUCCAGGUAGGAAGGUGAUGGGCAAGGAGUACUGGUCUGUUCUGGAACCUGCUAGUUCUUUUGAUAGGUAAACAUAGGCUUGAGAAAUAUUAUGAAGAGAUUUUUAAGAGAUGCUAAUGACUUUGAGCUUUGGUGCAACUACUCAAAGGUUCAGGGUAAUAAUAUUCUCCUCAGUUCUGCUCUUAAGAAAGACCCUCUGGAGUAACUUGGAAGAAAUUUUUAUCUUUUUUCCCCCCUACAGCUAAUUUGGUCUGUUACACUCUUACCUUAGUAAGCAUCACUUCAGUUACCAGUUCUUCAGUGUCCUAGCUCUUUCCUUUCCAAACUUAACUGUGGAUUCCUGAGUCCUCCAAGUCCAAGCACUCUGUUAACAUUUCUCUUUCUGGGCUUUAUUGGGCUCAACCUACACCCUCAAAACUAUCUUUCACACUGACUGAUCUUUUUAAAGCAGAGUUCCAAAGACUUCAACAGCUCAGACUUAAAUAUGCAGUGAACCUUCCAGCCUUUAGUUUGGCAGUGGGUUCUGCACCUUCCUCUACCUCCCCAUAUUUCCAUUCAAAACCUUUCAGGACUGUCCUGGUCUUACUAAACACAUUUUUUCUCAGUGCUACCACCACGCUUCGGCUUCCAUACUAGCCUCCACCCUGCUUUUGUUUGCUGUCCCUUUUCCUGCUUGAUGCCUUCCUCUUUCAUGGCGCCCCUAGUGAGCCCCUAGUGAUUGUUUCCUUCCCUGGACUCCUACACCAGCAAAGAAACCACCAAUCGGGUUCUUGGCACAUGAUGUUUUAUACUGUCGUCGUUUUUUUGUUUUUUCUUACAUGUUCUUAAGCCAUCUUUGAAUGGGUAUCUUUCAGGCCUUAAGGGAGGAGUAGGAUGACAGGGAAAACCCUGAGGACUAGUCUCAAGUCUGAUGCUCUAUAGCUUGGGGAAACUCCAUCAACCUCUCUGACCUUUUGUUCCCCCAUCUGUCAAAUGCCAAGUUGUGCAAGAGUGGAUUUUGGUCUGGAUUUGCUUCUGAUGUCCCCUUCCUUUCCUUGAGCACGGCAAGCAUCCAAAAGUGAAUGAUGGUGCUGUCUCAGAACAGACUUCUACAAAGGACACUGACAAGCUAGAGGCAUUUCUUCUAGGUUUUUAUGGGCCCUUCAUAGGCCUUGUAUGCCUCUGUAUCCCCUCAUGCUCAAACAGGUAAACAGAGACCAUGACGCCAAAGCUACAAGUUUGGGAGCCAGGUGUCCGGGACUGACCCAGAGCUGUUUCCCACCAUGCUAUUUCAGGCUCUUAGGACGUGGGACGGUGGAAUGUCAGCAUUGGAAGACAGGGAUCUUAAAGCUCAGCUGACUCAGCUCCUGGUACUUGCAUGCCCAUAGGUCAUCGCAAGAUUGCCACCAACAAAUUUGAGACAUUUUUGAAGAAUUGGCUUUAAUAAGCUUUGAUGUUUAAUAAGAAUGGAAAGCUCCCUGGAUGUUUAGCAAGUGAUGUACCCAUGUGACUGGUUUCUCUGCAAACAACUGUGAGUAGAGGUACCUGUGACCCAGGACAGAUCAUGCAGAUGAGGACAGUGUCCAAGGGAAUCUCAGCCAAUAAAGGAGAAGACAACGGGGUCCCUAACGACUGGGUAGCACAGCUGCCAACCAACCUGGAUGACUUACUUCAGGACUAUUAUAUGGGAGAGAAAUAAACUAUUUUUAAAGCCAUA
Molecule: long non-coding RNA, 1711 nt
Organism: Hyaena hyaena (striped hyena)
Lineage: Eukaryota; Metazoa; Chordata; Mammalia; Carnivora; Hyaenidae
Exons: 3
Source: RefSeq, a predicted model, not a curated record